GCCUACGACCAUCUCACCCUGAAUGCGCCCGAUCUCGUCUGAUCUCGGAAGCUAAGCAGAGUCGAGCCUGGUUAGUACUUGGAUGGGAGACUGCUUGGGAAUACCAGGUGUUGUAGGCU
This is a ribosomal RNA of Petromyzon marinus (sea lamprey), 119 nucleotides long. The record is from Ensembl. Lineage: Eukaryota; Metazoa; Chordata; Hyperoartia; Petromyzontiformes; Petromyzontidae.